GAAGUUAUUUAUCUAAAACAUGUGCAUAGGCUGUUGAGAAGGACACUUUACCUAUGUUUGAAUUGUCUUUUACCAUUACUUUACAUUCAUAUUUGUAAAUUUAAUAUCAGUGGAAAAUACAUGGUACCCCAAUCGUAGAAUCUCUCAUUCUGUGACAGAAUUUAAGGAAUUUGAAACUGCAGUAUACUAAAUAGCUUCCUUUUUAGGUUUAUAGAUGAAUCACUCUGUGCCUGUCAGCAUUUACCUUUUUACUUUCAGAAUUCCAGAUUUUUUUUUCUGAAUUGUGUUGGCAUGCUUUCUUCAUACUGAAAUGAACAUUUAAGGACCGGAUGACAUGUUUAAUGGUGAUGUUUUGAAAUGGAUGUUUCAUGUGUUUUACAGUACCCUCUACUAAUAUUGGCAUCCUUGGUAAAUAUGAGCAAAAAAUUGUCUUUAUUGUUUAACCUUUUGAUAUUUUCUUCAAACAAUUCACAAAAAUACUCUGCUCUCGUGGAUAGCAAACAAUUACCAACACAACACAGUUAUAUAAACACAAUCUUUGUUAAAUAAAACAUAAUCUCCAAGGAUCACAGCUGGAGAAUUGCAGAAGUUAAUUGCAUUCUGGGGUCAGAAAGUCUCCAAAACUACAAUCCAAAGUCACCUACAUCAACACAAAUAGUUUGGAAGGGUUUCAGGAAAAAAGCCUCUAUUCUCAUCCAAAAACAAACUCAAGCAUCUUCAGUUUGCCAGACACUACUGGAACUUCAAAUGGGAUCAGGUUCUAUGGUCAGAUGAAAUCAAAAUAGAGCUUUUUGGCAAUAAACACCAGAGGUGGUUUUGGCACACACAGAGAGUACCACAUGCCCACGGUUAAAUAUGGUGGUGGCUCUUUAAUGUUUUGAGGCUGUUUUUCUGCCAGUGGACCUGGACAUUUUGUUAGGAUACAUGGCAUCAUGGACUCUAUCAAAUAUCAACAGGUGUUAAAUGAAUACCUGACUGCCUCUGCCAGAAAGCUUAAAAUGGGCCGUGGUUGGAUCUUCCAGGAGGACAUUGAUCAAAAUCAACACAAAAAUGGUUUAAUGGACAUAAAAUAAAGGUUCUCCCCUUGUCAUCUCAGUCCCCUGACUUGAAAUCCAUAGAAAACCUUUGGGGUGAACUGAAGAGGAGAGUCCACCAGCACGGACCUCGAAAUUUUAAGGUUCUGGAGAGAUUCUGUAUGGAGGAAUGCUCUCAGAUCCCUUGUCAUGUAUUCUCCAGGCUCAUCAAGCAUUAGAGAAGACUCUGAGCUUUAAUCUUGGCAAAGGGAGGUAGCACAAAGUAGUGAAUAAAAGGGUGUCAGUAAUUGUUGCGCACCUAUAUUUAACAAAGAUUUUUUUUUGAUAAAUCUGUAUUUUGUUUGCAAUUGUUUGAUAUCCAUGAGAGCAGAGUAUUUUUGUGAUUUCUUUGAACAAAUGAUCAAAAGGGUUAAACGAUAAAGACAAUUUUUCACAGGCUUCUUUGCUCAUAUUUACCAAGGUUGCCGACAUUAGUGGAGGGCACUGUACAUAUUGAAACAUUUAAUAGAAUUAAACAUAAAAAACAAAAUACAUUUAUGCUUAUAAUCUGAUGCUUACAGUUUGCACCUGUUUCUCAAAAGCAUCACAUACUUAAAUUAUGUGAGCUUCAAACUCAAAUGAUUCAUACCACUCUGUAUGCUUUAAAGCCUAAGAUAGUGGUCAGACAUUUUCAUAAAUAUCAAAGAGCAGGUGUUUACCAUUAGUUCUCCAAGUGCCCUGCACUGAUCUCACACUAUUGUGUUUUUGCACUUUAUGUAGUCCUAUAACCAUGAUCCUGAAGAAAUGGCAUGUCAUUUGACUGCAUACGAGUUACAUGAGGGAAAGACAAUAAAACCCACGUGGUUUGCAGUAGUAUCUUUAACAAUCUUGUCAAAUUUUAUGAAAUUCUCUGUCCUAGACUAACAUGCCUUAUCAGAUGAUAGAUUGUUAAUAUUCUGUUAACCUGUGCAAGCCUUGAGGUGAAUACUAUUCACAACAAACUGAAACUGUCAGUAUGAAAACUAUGACUGGAAUGGAAUGCUCAUAGGAGGCCUCUUGUUAAAAAAAAAAUGGACAAAAGGGAGCAAAACCGUAGCUAAAAUUGGCAGCCAUUUAGUCAUGGCUUAAACUUGGAAAAGUUCCAGAAGCUUGUUUUCUUAUUUAAAAAAACUAAUUCUGUCAGUACUGUUCAAAAGUCUUAAACCAUACUGCUUAAGGCUGUAAGACGGUACUGAUCAAUCCGUAAACACACAACUAUUUGUUGUAAUACAUAUUAGAUUAAUUACAACUUAACAGUAGUAUGGUAAAAGUAACAAAAUAUUAGUGUAUUUUCCAAGAAGUUAUUUAUAUUUUGUCAGAUUGUUAGCAGAACAUGUUUGCUUCCCAAACCUCUACUUUGGGCACCUCAGCUGUUACACGCAUUUGUUAAAUUCCACCACCAUCUCAUCAGUGUCACUAUUCAUUGAUGAAGCUCCCCAGGUGUGCUAAUGCUGGAACACAUAAAUACAGUGACAUUUUUGUAUUAAAAUGACUAAACCAUCUCAUUGACACAUGGAUGGAAAUAUCUUCUUUGAUUAAAGAAAAGAAAGAAAAAACAAAGCUGUUAUUGUCAACGAUAAAUAGUCCACCAAAAUAAACUUUCGCAGUGUGACAUGUAAAUGGCCAUUUACACCAUGAAUUUAAAGAAGCUGUUAAAGUUGUGAGUAAAUAAUGUGGUGCAAGUCCCAAAACAUGUUCUAUAUAUUAAAUGUUUAUUAAAGCAUGGUUUCCACAAAUUGUGUUGUAGCUAAGAAACCAUUAUAUUAGUCUUAGAGGUCAAUGAGU
Ictalurus punctatus (channel catfish) is the source of this 2837-nucleotide long non-coding RNA. NCBI's taxonomy places the organism in Eukaryota, Metazoa, Chordata, Actinopteri, Siluriformes, Ictaluridae. The record is from Ensembl.